GACGAACGCUGGCGGCGUGCUUAACACAUGCAAGUGGAGCGACGAACCAGGCUUCGGCCUGGGGCAGAGCCGCGAACGGGUGAGUAACACGUGGGUAACCUGCCUCGAUGACCGGGACAACCCGGGGAAACCCGGGCUAAUACCGGAUGUGCUGCCUUCACAUCAGUGGAGACAGGAAAGAGCUUCGGCCUCCGCAUCGAGAUGGGCCCGCGGCCCAUUAGCUUGUUGGUGAGGAAUGGCUCACCAAGGCCGCGAUGGGUAGCUGGUCUGAGAGGACGAUCAGCCACACUGGGACUGAGACACGGCCCAGACUCCUACGGGAGGCAGCAGUGGGGAAUCUUGCGCAAUGCGCGAAAGCGUGACGCAGCAACGCCGCGUGGGGGAAGAAGGCC
Molecule: ribosomal RNA, 392 nt
Filed under: uncultured bacterium
Lineage: Bacteria
Description: bacterial SSU rRNA
Rfam family: Bacterial small subunit ribosomal RNA
Source: RNAcentral